RNAcentral lists this ribosomal RNA (255 nucleotides) under uncultured bacterium. RNAcentral describes it as "partial 16S ribosomal RNA". It matches the Rfam family "Bacterial small subunit ribosomal RNA", at positions 524 to 776 of the family's 1533-position model. The record is from RNAcentral.
UACAGAGGUCUCGAGCGUUAGGCGGAAUCACUGGGCUUAAAGCGUGUGUAGGCGGAUCGGUAAGUACCUUGUGAAAUCCCACAGCUUAACUGUGGAACUGCUUGGUAUACUGCCGGUCUUGAGCCAGCUAGGAGCUACCGGAACAAAUGGUGGAGCGGUGAAAUGCGUAGAUAUCAUUUGGAACGCCAAUGGUGAAAAACAGGUAGCUGGGGCUGUGCUGACGCUGAGGAACGAAAGCGUGGGGGAGCAAACAGG